UCUGGUGACAAUGGCAAGGAGGUCACACCUGUUCCCAUGCCGAACACAGAAGUUAAGCUCCUUAGCGCCGAUGG
RNAcentral lists this ribosomal RNA (74 nucleotides) under Staphylococcus epidermidis. Lineage: Bacteria; Bacillati; Bacillota; Bacilli; Caryophanales; Staphylococcaceae. RNAcentral also lists the same sequence under 13 other names. The record is from RNAcentral.